CAUCGACAUAUAAAUAGCCCGUAAAACAGAUGUAGUAACAGCCACAACGACUGAGCUUUAUACGUGAGACUACACAUCACAGAAGGUCGCAAUCAUCUGCCAUGCAUUUAGACUUUCUUCAGCUUGGCUCUGCUCUUGACUGGUUCCCAGGUACCACAUGACGAUUCCCAAAAGUCGCAAUCUUCAUUCCCUCCCCAGACGCCAGACAAGGUCAAAAACUGAACACCAGCACAUCGCAGUUAGUCUCUCUCCACCUCGCUCUGGAGGCAGACUGUUACAUAAUAUUGACCGGCGAACAGGAAUCGCUCAUUACCAUGAUUUGUCUCCCUUUGCUACUUGCUCUCUGUGUCUUCACGGGCAACGUUGCAUCGUUCCUCGAGGAACCGUGUGUAGGACUGGGCCGAAAGUGCGACCCUGAAGCAGUCUAUGGACAAGCUGGUCACUGCUGUAUCCAUGGGAUGUGCAGUAAGGUGGAGCAGACUGAAGGCGAUGUGGAGUACGCUUGUCAUGUGAUCCGACCAUAAUGAGCAUGAACCUCCGGGAGUUCCAAACUUUGUGCACGAGUCAGCCCUUACGAAAACAUAUUGAUAAUGGUAAAUAGUCAAACAUUUCUUUAAUGUGCACAUUUCUCGCAGUUUGGCAUUCAGGAUUGAAUCUACGCGAUAAACGGUAAAUAAAAUUUUACCUUUACAUCGAAUGGUGAUCAUUGUUUGAAUAGCUGCUGUGUAUGAUAUGUGCUCGCAGUCAAUAAAAUAAAAUAAAAUAAAAUAAAAUAAAAUAAAAUAAAAUAAAAUAAAAUAAAAUAAAAUAAAAUAAAAUAAAAUAAAAUAAAAUAAAAUAAAAUAAAAUAAAAUAAAGAAUGAAUAAAUCAACAAAGGCUAGCAGUGCUAAACGAUGUAACCCCUCUUUCUUAAUCACAGACUAGAUAUCAGUAAGUCCGUAGAACAUUUCGUAAUGGUUGUGGGGUGGAGGGGUAUGGUUCCCUAUUGCCAAACAUUUGAAUUUUCAAUUUUAACCUUUGUCUUAAAGGUAAGUCACGCACCACAUGGCGAUUCCCAGGUUAAGGACUUCAGUCCGAUAUCUUUCUCUAGAUAUGUCAGGGUCAUAGGUUGCAUACAAACAUCGCUGCUAGUCACCCUGAUGUAAUCUUGACUCCAGACCGCGCACUUGCCGAAGCUGUGGACAUUGUCAUCCUAACAGAGAACUGUAAACAGAUCGCUGAUCGCCAUGAUUUCUCUACCUUUGCUGCUCGUUCUUUGCGUCUUUACCGGCGAAGUCGCAUCUUUGCUCGACUUAACGUGUGUUGGUUUCGGCCAGAAGUGUGACCCCGAGGCAGUAUCAGGUCAAGAGGGUCACUGUUGUAACUUUGGCAGGUGUUGGGCUCAACAUCUGACCGACGGCAGUGUAGACUACGUAUGUCGACCGAUACUUCCAAUCCUCCCUUGAGGAGCCUCAACCCUCUGUGACCUCGCAGCCUUUAACAAUUUCGUGAAGACUUUCAACAACAAAAAACUGUAUUGAUCCCUGUAUUAAGAUAUAAUUUUCGAAUGCUACUUUACUAAGAAAUCGCUGAAUAAAAAUAAUAUUUCAGACGAUA
Pomacea canaliculata is the source of this 1597-nucleotide long non-coding RNA. RefSeq lists it as uncharacterized. The record is from RefSeq and is a predicted model, not a curated record. Lineage: Eukaryota; Metazoa; Mollusca; Gastropoda; Architaenioglossa; Ampullariidae. The transcript is spliced from 5 exons.